RNAcentral lists this long non-coding RNA (833 nucleotides) under Equus asinus (donkey). RNAcentral describes it as "lncRNA (ENSEASG00005024536.1)". The record is from RNAcentral. Lineage: Eukaryota; Metazoa; Chordata; Mammalia; Perissodactyla; Equidae.
CCAGAGCACAUCUCACUCUCAACAGUCAUCCCUUGUCCUCUCUGAAGGGGUUUGUCCCCCUCAGUUACCGCCUUUAGAGAUCCCAGUAUUUCACCUCCAGUGGCCUUCAUCCCAGGACACAUCCUUUGGCUUCCCUGCAGGGAAUAGUGUCAAGAGGCCACUGGUGGUGCCUCCCAUCUUGGCUCCGUGUUGCCUUCCGAGCAUCCUGGGCUCCCCGAAGCAGAGCAGAACAGCCAGAAUCCAAAUACUGGCCCCAGUGAGGCCCCAUUCUAAGAUAGCAAAAUACGAUGGACAAAAAAGACCACCGCAAGAGAUGUGCCGAACAGUUCCUUCAAAUAGCGCAUUCCCCACGUCAUGUAAAAAGAUUCACCCUCCCCAGCCUCAGCUCAGACGAGGCUGAGUAAGUAAAUCAGGAUGAAGCCCAUCCAGGAAAGUGAGUUCAGCUGCCAGUGUUGGAGCCACUGCUUCUGUCUUGCCACCACAUGAGACCUGAGACCAAAGCCAACACAAGGAGGGCCAGGCUGAGGGACAGAGAGAAGCCAAGUUUUGAUUGUAUCAUUUGAAAUCCUGAAGCCUGGGGUAUCUAAAGCCAGACCUACUCAUGGAUCAGGCCUGGCUACAUCAUUUGUGGGGCCCAUUGUUCCAAAAGCAGGGGCAAAGUGCCAUUAAAUGUACUCAAAUAUGAAACUUUUUUUCUCUCUUCCAUGGUCUCUCUCUCUCUCGACUUCUCAUGGUAUGUUUUUAUUUGCUAUUGGAUGUCAUUCUAAGUCAAGAGAAAUUAAAUUAGAAAACUGUGAGUAUGAAUUUUGCUGUUCAUCUUUACAUUGUGAAAU